UUCCGGUUGAUCCCGCCGGACCUGACUGCUAUCGGAUUGAUACUAAGCCAUGCGAGUCAUUGUAGCAAUACAAGGCAUACGGCUCAGUAACGCGUAGUCAACCUACCCUAUGGACGGAAAUAACCUCGGGAAACUGAGAAUAAUAUCCGAUAGAACAUUAUGCCUGGAAUGGUUUAYGUUCCAAAUGAUUUAUCGCCGUAGGAUGGGACUGCGGCCUAUCAGUUUGUUGGUGAGGUAAUGGCCCACCAAGACUAUUACAGGUACGGGCUCUGAGAGGAGUAGCCCGGAGAUGGGUACUGAGACACGGACCCAGGCCCUAUGGGGCGCAGCAGGCGAGAAAACUUUGCAAUGUGCGAAAGCACGACAAGGUUAAUCCGAGUGAUUUCUGCUAAAGAAAUCUUUUGUUAGUCCUAGAAACACUAACGAAUAAGGGGUGGGCAAGUUCUGGUGUCAGCCGCCGCGGUAAAACCAGCACCUCAAGUGGUCAGGAUGAUUAUUGGGCCUAAAGCAUCCGUAGCCGGCUCUGUAAGUCCUCGGUUAAAUCUGUACGCUUAACGUACAGGCUGCCGGGAAUACUGCAUAGCUAGGGAGUGGGAGAGGUAGACGGUACUCGGUAGGAAGGGGUAAAAUCCUUUGAUCUAUUGAUGACCACCUGUGGCGAAGGCGGUCUACCAGAACACGUCCGACGGUGAGGGAUGAAAGCUGGGGGAGCAAACCGGAUUAGAUACCCGGGUAGUCCCAGCUGUAAACUAUGCAAACUCAGUGAUGCAUUGGCUUGUGGCCAAUGCRGUGCUGCAGGGAAGCCGUUAAGUUUGCCGCCUGGGAAGUACGUACGCAAGUAUGAAACUUAAAGGAAUUGGCGGGGGAGCACCACAAGGGGUGAAGCCUGCGGUUCAAUUGGAGUCAACGCCGG
RNAcentral lists this ribosomal RNA (913 nucleotides) under uncultured Nitrososphaerota archaeon. Its description in RNAcentral is "bacterial SSU rRNA". It matches the Rfam family "Archaeal small subunit ribosomal RNA", at positions 1 to 921 of the family's 1478-position model. The record is from RNAcentral. Lineage: Archaea; Thermoproteati; Nitrososphaerota.